GUCUACGACCAUGCUACUCUGAACAAGCCCAAUCCCAUCUGAUCUCGGAAGCUAAGCAGGGUUGGGCCUGGUUAGUACUUGGAUGGGAGACUACCUAGGAAGACCAUGUGCUGUAGGCG
This is a non-coding RNA of Pteropus alecto (black flying fox), 119 nucleotides long. Lineage: Eukaryota; Metazoa; Chordata; Mammalia; Chiroptera; Pteropodidae. The record is from Rfam.